Molecule: RNA transcript, 1403 nt
Organism: Perca flavescens (yellow perch)
Lineage: Eukaryota; Metazoa; Chordata; Actinopteri; Perciformes; Percidae
Gene name: zinc finger BED domain-containing protein 6
Exons: 5
Source: RefSeq, a predicted model, not a curated record
CUGACAUAAUCUAAAGGGAUGUUGUUUUUUUCAUUUCAGAGAGUAACUAAAAUCCAACACCAAUGUGGAUAUUUACUAGUGUUGUUGAUGGAUUCAGGUCCAAAUCUUGACAUUUUAGUGCAAAGUAUUUUAAUUCUACAUUAGAAGUAGACGUAUAUCGCGUGACCUAGUGGUUGAAUCCCGGCUAUUGCAAUUCAAUUUAGCUAUUGGCUGAUCUGACCUCGAUUGAUUGGCAUCACGGAUGUAUUAACAAACCGAAACUGAACAAACUAGUAAACUCCUUAUAUAUAUAUACAUGUCAAUGGUAAACUCCGGAUACACUCUCGUCCAUGCGGAUGAAAGCAACAACCGCGUGCGCGUGUGUAGUUUAGUCCCGCCUCUCACCUCGUUCACUGGCCAGGACCUGCACGUGUGGUAUCUCAGGCGCGCGACACGCCACGGAAACAAAACAAAACAUGUCGGCGGUGUGGAACUUUUACAACGUGUGUGAGAAAAAUAUAAAAUUUGCCAUCUGCAACGUAUGCAAGAACACGAUACCUCGUGGGGGAAACAAGUUAAAAAAUUUCUGCACAACAAAUCUAAUAAGGCAUUUGAAGACGCGUCACCCGGCGAAGCACAGCGAGUUUCUUAAGAUAUCCGCGGCGAGUGGAAGGAAAAUGAAAGCACAACCAGCAUCCAAAGCAGCACCUAAACACCAGCAUAAACGGACCACAGAUAUCGGGUGCCAGACAGAACCAGACAGCACAAACGAUGCUGCUGGAGAAGUUAACAACAGGAGAAGCAAAGGUGAGGUUCCAAGGACAAGAUCCACACCAGUCAAAAGGACAAGGUCUGAGGUGUCAACUGAUGACUCCAGUCACCAGCCAGAUGUAACCACCAGCACAAACUGUACAAGAGCUGCAGCUUUGUACAAACAGCCUGCAGCACAGAGGUUGAGGAAAACGGGUACAAAGUCCAGCACAGGCUGCACCCCCUAUCUGCUCACACUUGCAUCACCUGUGUAUGUAAUGAAAAGCAGCUUUGUGUCAUGCAUGGAUGAAUAUAUUAUCACCACAUGACAAGUAGGCCUACAGCUUUCAACCUUUGGCAGACCUUCAGACUUCUAGCUCCCUCAGCUACUCCACUGCUGAACCCACAACAUCCACUAGUGACAUAGCUGCAAAAAAUAAGAAAUGGGAAACGAAGAUUUUGCGAUGUGGAUGGUGCCGACAGCCUCAUCCUCCAAAGGAUCCAGAAGGAUUGCUGUUGUGGGUUCAAUGUGAAUGCUGCCACAAAUUGUUUCACACAAUUUGUGUAAGCUCAGAGAUGGACUUGGAUGAAGAUGAAUUUUGGUGUUUUUGGUGCCUUGAUGUUUGAUUUUGUUGUCUGUCAUAGCUCAUAAUAAAUUCAAUGGUUCAACUUGA